Molecule: ribosomal RNA, 440 nt
Filed under: uncultured bacterium
Lineage: Bacteria
Description: bacterial SSU rRNA
Rfam family: Bacterial small subunit ribosomal RNA
Source: RNAcentral
CCUACGGGGGGCUGCAGUGGGGAAUAUUGCACAAUGGGGGAAACCCUGAUGCAGCAACGCCGCGUGAGCGAAGAAGGCCUUCGGGUCGUAAAGCUCUGUCCUAAGGGAAGAAUUUUGACGGUACCUUAGGAGGAAGCCCCGGCUAACUACGUGCCAGCAGCCGCGGUAGUCGGUAGGGGGCAAGCGUUAUCCGAAAUCACUGGGCGUAAGGGGUGCGUAGGCGGCUAAGUAAGCGAGGGGUGAUAGGCUACGGCUCCACCGCAGUAAGCCUUAGGAAAUACUUAGCUUGAGUGCAGGAGAGAAGAGAGGAAAAAAGAGCAUACCGCUAAAGUGCGUAUGAAUAAGAAGGAACACCAGUAGCAAAGUGAACUCUCUGUACAUUACUGGACGUUGAGGCACGAAAGCGUGGUGGGUAAACAGAAUUAGAUCCGCGUGUAGAC